AGAUUGCAAGUUUGAGCCCUUAGCAGAAGCAUUCAUGGUACAGCCAUGUCAGAUUCCAACAAAUCUGCAAAUUCUGCU
RNAcentral lists this ribozyme (78 nucleotides) under Crocodylus porosus (Australian saltwater crocodile). RNAcentral's name for it is "Mammalian CPEB3 ribozyme (ENSCPRG00005003277.1)". It matches the Rfam family "Mammalian CPEB3 ribozyme". From Rfam's summary of the family: The mammalian CPEB3 ribozyme is a self cleaving RNA located in the second intron of the CPEB3 gene which belongs to a family of genes regulating messenger RNA polyadenylation. This ribozyme is highly conserved and found only in mammals. The record is from Rfam by way of RNAcentral. Lineage: Eukaryota; Metazoa; Chordata; Crocodylia; Crocodylidae.